AGUCUGACAACUGAGGCGGAGAAGU
This 25-nucleotide non-coding RNA is filed under the name Cricetulus griseus (Chinese hamster). Lineage: Eukaryota; Metazoa; Chordata; Mammalia; Rodentia; Cricetidae. The record is from RNAcentral.